ACCCUAUGUUUCCACAAUUUGUUGUGCUUGUCAUUAAAGUCAUUACAAUUUGAAUGUCUUCAGCCAAAAAGAGAUGUCGGGCCAUUACCUCGACACCAUCAGAGGUGAAGUACCUUGGCCAGCUACAUCUAAACUUUGGCAAAUACAACGGCCAAAGUUUUAAAUGGCUGGUGGAGAAUGAUGUUGGCAACAUUAAGUAUCUCAUUGAUCUCCACAUCAAAGAAAGCCGCCAUCCUGACAAAAAGGCAAGCCAAGGCAACUGGGUGAAGGAUCUCCUGCUGCGGUAUGUGCAGCUGCUUCCACAGGUCUCCUGCCACCUGGAUAUCAAUGUUGACAGGGCCAUUUAUGGGCAGGGCCACUUCAGGUCCUUCACCUUCUUGGAGAUGUGGCAGUGGUACAGCCUGCACAAGAUCCUUCAGGCUGACCCGCAAGCAAGUACGGACCACAAAAGAAAAAUGGCGCAGGAGGCAUACUGCUCUGUGCAGCAGUGGCUGGUGAUGAAGGAGGAGGACAUCACCACCAAGUCACUGAAGUGCUCCAGGCGUUACAUUCUCGACAAAGAGGACAGGGACCCUCCCUCAGCAGCUGCCAGCUCCAGCUCAUCAGUGAUGGUGGUUGGGCGGAUGACUCUCUACUGGUGGAAGCUCUUGCCUCCUUUGAAAGACAAGGCUAUAAGAAGAUUGCCAAGACCCUGAAACUGAGCUGCGUGAGUGCUGCUGGCACUGGGGAGCUACAGUUCAUUGAGGGAACCAUGAAUGCCAACAUGUACUGUGACAUUCUGAAGCAGAUCAUGAUCCCCUCCCUUCGGAGACUGGGCCGCAGGUCAGUAUUCCAACAUGAUAAUGACCCCAAACACACCUCCAAGACGGCCACUGCCUUGCUAAAGAAUGUCUCCAGACCUACACCCUAUUGAGCAUCUGUGGGGCAUCCUCAAACGGAAGGUGGAGGAGCGCAAGGUCUCUAACAUCCACCAGCUCCGUGAUGUCAUCUUGGAGGAGUGGAAGAGGACUCCAGUGGCAACCUGUGAAGCUCUGGUGAACUCCAUGCCCAAGAGGGUUAAGGCAGUGCUGGAAAAUAAUGGUAGCCACACAAAAUAUUGACACCCAAUUUGGACAUUUUUACUUAGGGGUGUACUCAAAUUUGUGGCCAGCGGUUUAGACAUUAAUGGCUGUGUGUUGAGUUAUUUUGAGGGGACAGCAAAUUUACACUGUUAUACAAGCUGUACACUCACUACUUUACAUUGUAACAAAGUGUCAU
Molecule: long non-coding RNA, 1257 nt
Organism: Ctenopharyngodon idella (grass carp)
Lineage: Eukaryota; Metazoa; Chordata; Actinopteri; Cypriniformes; Xenocyprididae
Exons: 4
Source: RefSeq, a predicted model, not a curated record